Molecule: long non-coding RNA, 849 nt
Organism: Empidonax traillii (willow flycatcher)
Lineage: Eukaryota; Metazoa; Chordata; Aves; Passeriformes; Tyrannidae
Exons: 3
Source: RefSeq, a predicted model, not a curated record
GCCCUUUUAGCACAUGCUCUGGUCUCCAGUACUGUAGCAAGGCAAUCUCCUUCUCCUGGACAAGUACUUUAAAAUCUAUGUAGGUAAAAAAAUACUGCACUUUUCUAGGUGCCCUGCCUGGGUAUCAUUUACUGGUGAACAUAAACAUUACCAAGCAAGCAAGGCUGUGUUUUUCAGGGCUACUGAAAUGUAUCCAUUACCCUUGUCUGAAUUAGCAGCUUCAGGGCAAUGUCCCAUCCAUGCUCUGAAAGUACCAGAAAGGCAGCGGCGCUGAACUGAUCUGAGCACCAGCAGCACUUGGCAUUUUCCCCAGAGCUGUCUGAGCAAACAAGGCAAAGGGGAAAAAGCCUGUCCCUCCCUCUCUCCACCUGCCCAGUGACUCAGAACAACUAGAAAUGGCAGCUUAACUCUCAGAACGGAGACCGAUAUAUCCAGCAGUCAGCGUGAGGGCAUCGGGAGUGCCAAGAAAACAGAAAGAAGAACCUUUCUCGAGGUAUGAUGAAGCCAUUUUUUCCCCCUGCUUUUAAAAUGAUCAGGCUGAUAUUUUUGCAUUAUAGAUAUACAAGGACCCAUUCAAGCAGUUACCACAGCCUCAGCCACUCGAAAUGCUGGCAAUCUCGCAGAAAAGCUGCUUCUUAAAUAUGCUUUUCCAAGGAGCGACGAAAACCUGCAAGGGAUGCCUCAACUUCCAAUUUUCUAUAAGACUCAACUGGGCAAAUUCUGACCGAGAAGCGACAAGGAUAAAUCUCCUUCCUUCAGGUAUAACCUGGAAGAUAAUUUAUCUCGCAGCCAGCAGGAUGCUCCCAAGUGCUGCUGGAGCCCUAGCGCACGGUGGGGCAGGGAAAUAAA